CGCGAAGAACCUUACCUGGUCUUGACAUCCACAGAAUUAUUUAGAAAUAAAGAAGUGCCUUUUAGGAACUGUGAGACAGGUGCUGCAUGGCUGUCGUCAGCUCGUGUUGUGAAAUGUUGGGUUAAGUCCCGCAACGAGCGCAACCCUUAUCCUUUUUUGCCAGCGGUUCGGCCGGGAACUACAAGGAGACUGCCGGUUAUAAACCGGAGGAAGGUGGGGACGACGUCAAGUCAUCAUGGCCCUUACGACCAGGGCUACACACGUGCUACAAUGGUACAUACAAAGAGAAGCAAAUUCGCGAGAAUAAGCAAAUCUCAUAAAGUGUAUCUUAGUUCGGACUGGAGUCUGCAACUCGACUCCACGAAGUCGGAAUCGCUAGUAAUCGUGAAUCAGAAUGUCA
RNAcentral lists this ribosomal RNA (400 nucleotides) under Buchnera aphidicola (Tuberculatus higuchii). Its description in RNAcentral is "bacterial SSU rRNA". It matches the Rfam family "Bacterial small subunit ribosomal RNA", at positions 960 to 1359 of the family's 1533-position model. The record is from RNAcentral. Lineage: Bacteria; Pseudomonadati; Pseudomonadota; Gammaproteobacteria; Enterobacterales; Erwiniaceae.